Long non-coding RNA from Gopherus evgoodei (Goodes thornscrub tortoise), 775 nucleotides. RefSeq lists it as uncharacterized. Lineage: Eukaryota; Metazoa; Chordata; Testudines; Testudinidae. The transcript has 2 exons. The record is from RefSeq and is a predicted model, not a curated record.
ACUUCUGUCUCCUGGAUGAUGGGGGCUGCUGCACAUCCAGUACAGGAAAGACACAUAUUGAAAGACAGCAAGUACUUCCAGGAACUGACAGAUGCAAAGAGAAGCACCUUGCUCACUUUCCUCUCUGCACUGGCUGUCUGGAUAUCCCAGUUGGAGGAGGAGGUACAGCUGGCCAACUGGCAAGAGAGAUCUGCCUUUCAUCAACCUCGAGCAUGGGAAAAGUCCCCCUGCUAACAAAAUAGCUUCCUGAAGAUCUAUUUUAGAGUGACUUUAGCAACAGCUGCCUCAAUCAGGAUGAAUAUGGUCUCUGACGUGAACAAGCACUGUCUCUUUGUAAUAAGUGUGGGUUAGACUCUCCCCAUCCUCAUUCUCUAAUAAAAAUUGAAUAGAACUGUGUAGAUAAAAAUAAUUCUGUGAUUGAAAUGGAGCGCAAACAUAAGGACUGAGCUUCUUGAAAAGUACUAAGUUGUUACUAUUUGCACUACAGUUCAGAUAAAAGGCUGAAUGUCAACUGCCCAACAACUUUUGGUCUGAUCCUGCAGUUCUCAUUUUCCCAAAAUCCUCUAAGGGGAGGAGGGACUGCAUGAGCAGGUUUAACAAAUAGUUACAAUGGCAUUAUCUAUAGAGGAGCUGCAAGGAUCAUGCUUUUUUUUAAUUCUUGUUCCUUAAGUUAUUCAUACCAUUAUCUAGUACAACCACCUACUAUAUACUAUAUUACUGUAGAGCUUGCUCUGGAAAAGACUUUUCACUUCUCUUAAAGUUUUCUUGGAAGACC